This 209-nucleotide long non-coding RNA is filed under the name Mytilus galloprovincialis (Mediterranean mussel). The record is from RNAcentral. Lineage: Eukaryota; Metazoa; Mollusca; Bivalvia; Mytilida; Mytilidae.
AAAAAAUAAUGAGAAAAAUAAAAUAAAAAUAAUAAUAAAUAAACGUGAAUUAUUGUAAUGUAUACAUUGUGAAAUGCUUGGGUUCCUAUUGAGUGAUGAAGCAUUUUGUAUUUGUAAUUUACAAUGACGACUUUGAGAGGAGAUGUUCACAUUAGUGAUAGAGUGUGAACGGCAAGCUACACCAAAUAUCCAAAUAUGUGAUACCGACC